GAUGAACGCUGGCGGCGUGCCUAAUACAUGCAAGUCGAGCGAACAGACGAGGAGCUUGCUCCUCUGACGUUAGCGGCGGACGGGUGAGUAACACGUGGAUAACCUACCUAUAAGACUGGGAUAACUUCGGGAAACCGGAGCUAAUACCGGAUAAUAUAUUGAACCGCAUGGUUCAAUAGUGAAAGACGGUUUUGCUGUCACUUAUAGAUGGAUCCGCGCCGCAUUAGCUAGUUGUUAAGGUAACGGCUUACCAAGGCAACGAUGCGUAGCCGACCUGAGAGGGUGAUCGGCCACACUGGAAGUGAGACACGGUCCAGAGUCCUACGGGAGGCAGCAGUAGGGAAUCUUCCGCAAAGGGCGAAAGCAUGACGGAGCAACGCCGCGUGAGUGAUGAAGGUCUUCGGAUCGUAAAACUCUCUUAUUAGGGAAGAACCAAUGUGUAAGUAACUAUGCACGUCUUGACGGUACCUAAUCAGAAAGCCACGGCUAACUACGUG
RNAcentral lists this ribosomal RNA (497 nucleotides) under uncultured bacterium. RNAcentral's name for it is "partial 16S ribosomal RNA". It matches the Rfam family "Bacterial small subunit ribosomal RNA", at positions 28 to 507 of the family's 1533-position model. The record is from RNAcentral.